GACGAACGCUGGCGGCGUGCUUAACACAUGCAAGUCGAACGGAAAGGCCCUGCUUUUGUGGGGUGCUCGUGUGGCGAACGGGUGAGUAACACGUGAGUAACCUGCCCUUGACUUUGGGAUAACUUCAGGAAACUGGGGCUAAUACCGGAUAUGAGCUCCUGCUGCAUGGUGGGGGUUGGUAAGUUUCGGCGGUUGGGGAUGGACUCGCGGCUUAUGAGCUUGUUGGUGUGGUAGUGGCUUACCAAGGCUUUGACGGGUAGCCGGCCUGAGAGCGUGGACGGGCACAAUGGGACUGCGAUACGGCGCAGACUCCUACGGGAGGCAGCAGUCGGGAGCAUUGCACAAUGGGCGGGAGCCUGAUGCAGAGACGCCGCGUGCGGGAUGACGGGCUACGGGGGGUAAACCGAUUUCGACUGUGACGAAGCGUGAGUGACGGUAACGGGUAAAGAAGCACCGGCUAACUACGUG
Molecule: ribosomal RNA, 468 nt
Filed under: uncultured bacterium
Lineage: Bacteria
Description: partial 16S ribosomal RNA
Rfam family: Bacterial small subunit ribosomal RNA
Source: RNAcentral